GCUAGCGUAGUUAACUUAAAACGUAACAUUGAAAAUGUUAAGGUGGGCCCUAAAAAGCUCCGCAAGCA
Molecule: transfer RNA, 68 nt
Filed under: Pseudaphritis urvillii (congolli)
Lineage: Eukaryota; Metazoa; Chordata; Actinopteri; Perciformes; Pseudaphritidae
Description: tRNA-Phe
Rfam family: tRNA
About the family: Transfer RNA (tRNA) molecules are approximately 80 nucleotides in length. Their secondary structure includes four short double-helical elements and three loops (D, anti-codon, and T loops). Further hydrogen bonds mediate the characteristic L-shaped molecular structure. tRNAs have two regions of fundamental functional importance: the anti-codon, which is responsible for specific mRNA codon recognition, and the 3' end, to which the tRNAs corresponding amino acid is attached (by aminoacyl-tRNA synthetases). tRNAs cope with the degeneracy of the genetic code in two manners: having more than one tRNA (with a specific anti-codon) for a particular amino acid; and 'wobble' base-pairing, i.e. permitting non-standard base-pairing at the 3rd anti-codon position.
Source: RNAcentral